GUGAGGACUCCUGUCCCGAGACUCGCUCCACGGAGUCCCCAUCAGGGGAGCUCAAUCCUGGGGACUCCUACCCGGGGAUCCGGGGAUCCUUCAUGGGCUGUCUUUUCCAAAAGGGGGUUCUUCCUUGGGGACUGCUUUUGUUCACUUUCCUGGGGGGGGGGGGGCUCCUUCCCGGGAAGUUCCCCAUUCUAGUGGCUUCUUUCCUCGGGGCGGGGUGGGGUGGUGGUGGUGGAGGGGAGGUCUCUUCUUUGCAAGACUUGAUAGUUCAACUCUCCUAGCCUCCCGUUUUUUUGCUAGUCCCUGAAUUUUAUGUAGACUCUGGAUCCUGCUUUGAGAGGUAGUGAAACAGCCUCUUUUUAAAGGAAUACCUGGAAACGGACACCCAAGAUUGUAUUUCAUAAGGAAGUGCGGUGCCCUGCAACACUUGCCUUAAGCUUAAACUGUCGCAGUCAACAAGCAACCGAGAUGGUUGACACAUUCUCCGGGAAUUCUUAAUUUAGGUGUGUGUGUGUGUGUGUGUGUGUGUGUGUGUGUGUGUGUGUGUGUGUGUAACCAAUCAAGUAAGUUGAAAGUGACCUGGUAGGUCACUCCUGCGCAGUAGGUUUAACCUCUGGCUCCAGCCUCUUGCUGCUGCUUUGCAGCAUCAGCCAACUCUUGAAAGAAGGGAGGGUCACAUAGAUUCUAGUUCAGCAUCCAGCUAGUCUAUCUGGGGCUCAGUGUAGACUUGCUUACUUACCAGGCAAAUAUUUGCUGCAGAUGAAAGGGACUCUUUCUUUACAGUCUUGUUCUCCUCCUUGGCUUCCCUAACUACUGAAAGAACAAACACUAGCAGCUGGCUAGCCAGUAGGGGCCGUCUCCUUUCUUUGAGGACUUGAGUCAGUACCUCCGGAACAAAUAAAGUAUUUGAACAACCCUUUGGACACCAUCAAGACGCUGUUGUUCAUAGGUUAUAAGUCAAAUCACUCUAAGCCCCUGUUUUUCUCGUCUUUCUUUGGUUCAUGACAUCUUAUUCCUUUUCCAUAUCAUGUACUUUAGAAUUUAAAAUGGGCUUUGCUGUUGAUGGUGCAUACCUUUAAUCCCAGUACUGGGGAGGCAGAGACAGCUCUGAGUUCAAGGUCAGCCAUGCUACAUAGUGAGACUGUCUCAAAAAUAAGCAAAUACAUACACAAAUAAAUAAUAGGCUUUAAACCAAGGGUUUAAAUUAAGUAUUUUUUUCCCCAUUGGAACUUUUCUUUGCUAUCUCAUCCACCUCUUCCUCUUUAGCCUCCUUAAACACUGUCUUGUAAAGAACUUCUACCUCAGGCUGAGGUAGGAGAAUGAGAAGUUUGGAAGUAGCCUGUCUUAUGUAUUAGCACAGUGUUUCAAAAGUGAAAAAUAAGAUUUUUUCUUAUUAAUAAGCUUUGAAGUAUAUUUUAUGAUUUUUUUUGUUUUGUUUUUUUUUCAUGAGAUAGGGUUUUACUUCAUAGCUCCAGCUGUCCUGGAACUCACUAUGUAGAUCAGGC
RNAcentral lists this long non-coding RNA (1502 nucleotides) under Cricetulus griseus (Chinese hamster). RNAcentral describes it as "lncRNA (ENSCGRG00015041680.1)". The record is from RNAcentral. Lineage: Eukaryota; Metazoa; Chordata; Mammalia; Rodentia; Cricetidae.